Molecule: ribosomal RNA, 94 nt
Filed under: Rodriguezia satipoana
Lineage: Eukaryota; Viridiplantae; Streptophyta; Magnoliopsida; Asparagales; Orchidaceae
Description: 5.8S ribosomal RNA
Rfam family: 5.8S ribosomal RNA
About the family: 5.8S ribosomal RNA (5.8S rRNA) is a component of the large subunit of the eukaryotic ribosome.
Source: RNAcentral
GACACGACUCUCGACAAUGGAUAUCUUGGCUCUUGCAUCGAUGAAGAGCGCAGCGAAAUGCGAUACUUGGUGCGAAUUGCAGAAUCCCGCGAAC